RNAcentral lists this long non-coding RNA (304 nucleotides) under Elaeis guineensis (African oil palm). RNAcentral's name for it is "long non-coding RNA (EGUI_LNC029924)". Lineage: Eukaryota; Viridiplantae; Streptophyta; Magnoliopsida; Arecales; Arecaceae. The record is from RNAcentral.
UUGCCAUAUCCAAUCAAAUAUUAUGCAGAUCUCUUUUAAAUUCAACAUAUUUAUUCUCAAAAGAUUUUCAAGCUGGUGUAUUCGUUGGAUGUCUUAGUUCUCCAUCUUCUACUCUCUUAUUAUAGUGCCACCUCAUAUAUUCUGCAAUCUCAAGUAACAUAUACAGCUUUUGUAAUCUUGGCUUGAUUGAAAAAUAUCUUAGCACCUUGUGUGGGAUAUUUUUUCUUACACUUGUUUCAACACUAUCCUUCCAUCUAGAUAAUCCGCAAAUGGGACAAUACUGUGCAUCAAUCAAUGACUCUCA